This is a long non-coding RNA of Brassica oleracea var. oleracea, 429 nucleotides long. RefSeq lists it as uncharacterized. The transcript is spliced from 3 exons. The record is from RefSeq and is a predicted model, not a curated record. Lineage: Eukaryota; Viridiplantae; Streptophyta; Magnoliopsida; Brassicales; Brassicaceae.
CAAAUUAAACCCUAAUCGUGUUCAUCUCUGUUCUCUGCUCAGCGGCGACCUCUGAACUCACACUGAAUCUGAAACGGUCGGAGUUAUCGUGGCUUUGAAUGCAAGCUUAGCUUGGUUGGUUGAGUCGGUGGACCUGCGAGUAUAAAUAGCACCAGUCAUUGUUCCGGUACGGUCCUCUCGCGUCUUCUGCGAUUCUGGGAAACCCGAGGGGGAGGAUAACUGAUGGGAUUGGACAUGCUCCUUUUUGAUUCAAAAGAGAAGGUAGCCAGAUGUAACAAGGUAGCAAGAUUAGCGCAUGGGUACAUGAUCAGAAAUGUCACCAGGUGAUAUAGCUUUAAAGGUGUGGCGGAAUAGGUUUUCUAAGCUUCAUCUCAACUUCUCAUUAGCACUUCCAUCAUUUACCAAACAGAUUUAUGGGCCUACCAAAAA